This 73-nucleotide transfer RNA is filed under the name Suberites domuncula. RNAcentral's name for it is "transfer RNA-Ile (cau)". It matches the Rfam family "tRNA". From Rfam's summary of the family: Transfer RNA (tRNA) molecules are approximately 80 nucleotides in length. Their secondary structure includes four short double-helical elements and three loops (D, anti-codon, and T loops). Lineage: Eukaryota; Metazoa; Porifera; Demospongiae; Suberitida; Suberitidae. The record is from RNAcentral.
AGGCUGGUAGCUUAAUAGGUAAAGCAUGUCGCUCAUAACGUCAAAGAAGUAGGUUCAAGCCCGUCUCAGCCUA